Molecule: ribosomal RNA, 497 nt
Filed under: uncultured bacterium
Lineage: Bacteria
Description: partial 16S ribosomal RNA
Rfam family: Bacterial small subunit ribosomal RNA
Source: RNAcentral
GAUGAACGCUGGCGGCGUGCCUAAUACAUGCAAGUCGAGCGAACAGAUGCGGAGCUUGCUCCUCUGACGUUAGCGGCGGACGGGUGAGUAACACGUGGAGAAUCUACUUAUACGACUGGGUUAACUUCGGCAAACCGGAGUGAAUACCGGGUAAUAUAUUGAACCGCAUGCUUCAAUAGUGUAAGACGGUUUUGCUGUCGGUUAUAGAUGGAUCCGCGCCGCAUUAGCUUGUUGGUAAGGUAACGGCUUACCAAGGCGACGACGCGUAGCCGACCUGAGAGGAGGAUCGGCCACACUAGAAGUGAGGCGAGACCCAGAAGACUACGGGGGGAAGCAGUAGGGAAUAUUACGGCAUGGGCGACAGCAGGACGGAGCAGCGCCGCGGCGGGGAGGAUGGUCUCCGGAGCGUAAAACUCUGCUAUCGGGAGAGAACAAAUGUGGAAGUGACUAUGCACGGGUUGACGGUACCUGAAUAGAAAGCCCCGGCUAACUACGUG